This 63-nucleotide transfer RNA is filed under the name Perkinsiella saccharicida. RNAcentral describes it as "tRNA-Cys". Lineage: Eukaryota; Metazoa; Arthropoda; Insecta; Hemiptera; Delphacidae. The record is from RNAcentral.
GGUUUUAUAGUCUAAAAAAGAUAUUAAAUUGCAAGUUUAAUGAUGAUUAUUUUUCUAAAGCUU